AUUGAAGUGAUGAAUAUUUCCCCAAAUGAUCGAAAUUGAAAUUACCGAGCACUAUUCUCUUUUAGAGAAAAAUCCAAGCUAGGAUAUUCUAAUCCAU
Small nucleolar RNA from Camellia sinensis, 97 nucleotides. RefSeq annotates it as small nucleolar RNA Z103. NCBI's taxonomy places the organism in Eukaryota, Viridiplantae, Streptophyta, Magnoliopsida, Ericales, Theaceae. The record is from RefSeq and is a predicted model, not a curated record.